Non-coding RNA from Dermacentor andersoni, 829 nucleotides. NCBI's taxonomy places the organism in Eukaryota, Metazoa, Arthropoda, Arachnida, Ixodida, Ixodidae. The record is from RefSeq and is a predicted model, not a curated record.
CUCGUCGUUUCCGUCAGUGCUAUCGCCAUUGCAAUCAGCGGACCGUCGAUCGUGCGUUGAGAGGAGCAGCUGCGGGUUUCAGUAUGACGGGGUGCAGCGCACCACACUGCACAAACCGCACGGAAGGCGGUAAAGCGCUCUACGCGGUGCCAUGCCGACGGACAGACGUGCGCCGGCGACUCGUGUGGCUUCUGCGUAUGGGUCGAGACCGGCCGGCUCCGAAAGGUACGAGGAUAUGCGAGGACCACUUCACAAAAGAUCAGUUUGAGCAUGGCCUGCAAGAAAGGAAACGUUUGAAGCCAGACGCGGUCCCUAGCAUCUUUUCCUGUGAGUUCUCACCGCAUAGCCACUUCUAUUCGCUUGUUAGUGCUCUUGUAGUGUGGGAUGAAAAAAAAGCUGUGGUGGACCUCCAGGCCCGCCAGCGUUUGCAGAAACCCACAAUGCACUCACGCCAUCACUUUACUGUGAUUUCUUUCUCAACAUCCUUUUUCUUUGAGAUAUUAACUUAGUAGCAAUAUGGUGUGCACUCUAUGCAGGCACACCAGUGUGUUUGAUAGCACAGCUAUAAAAUAGUCUCCUGCAGCACAUUGUAUACGUGAACGAUCAGCACUGUAAAUUAGGCUUAUUAGUACAAAUUCAUCUUUGACGUCUGGACACGUAGCAGAACAAUAUAGAACAAAAGUGGACAAAUUACGGGCCGCUAGUUAUCAGUCCUAUUCUCUUUGUAUUCUGCUUGGCACCUGGAACAUCUCGAGAACAGUGUAUUGUAAUUACUUGAAAGUAAACAAUAGUUGUGAUGUGUGCUUGUCAAUUAUAAGGAACACCUCAG